UGGGGAAUAUUGGACAAUGGGCGAAAGCCUGAUCCAGCAAUGCCGCGUGAGUGAAGAAGGCCUUCGGGUUGUAAAGCUCUUUUACCCGGGAAGAUAAUGACUGUACCGGGAGAAUAAGCCCCGGCUAACUCCGUGCCAGCAGCCGCGGUAAUACGGAGGGGGCUAGCGUUGUUCGGAAUUACUGGGCGUAAAGCGCACGUAGGCGGUCUUUUAAGUCAGAGGUGAAAGCCCGGGGCUCAACUCCGGAAUUGCCUUUGAAACUGGGAGACUUGAACACGGGAGAGGUGAGUGGAAUUCCGAGUGUAGAGGUGAAAUUCGUAGAUAUUCGGAGGAACACCAGUGGCGAAGGCGGCUCACUGGACCGUUGUUGACGCUGAGGUGCGAAAGCGUGGGGAGCAAACAGG
RNAcentral lists this ribosomal RNA (404 nucleotides) under uncultured bacterium. RNAcentral describes it as "bacterial SSU rRNA". It matches the Rfam family "Bacterial small subunit ribosomal RNA", at positions 355 to 776 of the family's 1533-position model. The record is from RNAcentral.